This is a long non-coding RNA of Amphimedon queenslandica, 418 nucleotides long. RefSeq lists it as uncharacterized. The record is from RefSeq and is a predicted model, not a curated record. Lineage: Eukaryota; Metazoa; Porifera; Demospongiae; Haplosclerida; Niphatidae. The transcript has 4 exons.
CUUUUACAAUUUCUUUGGCAAUUUUUCUAGUCCCAUACAUUUCAAAAAAUGGAACUUGACCUUUCUCUUGCACAAACAGAACAUCAUGUUGCCACUUACAAUUGUGCACUUCAAAUUAUGUACCUAGUCAACCAAACAUAAUAGGAACUACAAACCUUAAAAAAAAAAAUAACAGCGGUCAUCAAUAUUAAAUUUUCAAAGCAGCAAACAAUACACCUCAAAAAGGAGUAUUUUUGUCACAAAUAAAAGCAAGACAUUGCAUAAUUUACCACAUUACAUUAAGUAUCUUUUCCUAAUACUACUGUCACUGUCUCUUUCUCUUUGUACUAGACCAUCACAAAAUUCUCAUAUUUCAUUGCACUAACCAUCAAUACUCAUGUCAAACUAUAAGUCGUUCUAAAUUAUGAAGCUCAACAAA